GGGAUUGCCCUAGUAACGGCGAGUGAAGCGGCAACAGCUCAAAUUUGAAAUCUGGCUCUUUCAGAGUCCGAGUUGUAAUUUGCAGAGGGCGCUUUGGCGUUGGCAGCGGUCCAAGUUCUUUGGAACAGGACGUCACAGAGGGUGAGAAUCCCGUACGUGGUCGCUGGCCUUCGCCGUGUAAAGCCCCUUCGACGAGUCGAGUUGUUUGGGAAUGCAGCUCUAAAUGGGAGGUAAAUUUCUUCUAAAGCUAAAUACUGGCCAGAGACCGAUAGCGCACAAGUAGAGUGAUCGAAAGAUGAAAAGCACUUUGGAAAGAGAGUCAAAUAGCACGUGAAAUUGUUGAAAGGGAAGCGCUUGCAGCCAGACUUGCCUGUAGUUGCUUAUCUGGACUUUUGUCCGGUGCACUCUUCUGCGGGCAGGCCAGCAUCAGUUUGGGCGGUUGGAUAAAGGUCUCUGUCAUGUACCUCCUUUCGGGGAGGCCUUAUAGGGGAGACGACAUGCAACCAGCCUGAACUGAGGUCCGCGCAUCUGCUAGGAUGCUGGCGUAAUGGCUGUAAGCGGCCCGUCUUGAAACACGGACCAAGGAGUCUAACAUCUAUGCAAGUGUUUGGGUGUCAAGCCCAGACGCGUAAUGAAAGUGAACGGAGGUGGGAACCUUUUAGGUGCACCAUCGACCGAUCCUGAUGUCUUCGGAAGGAUUUGAGUAAGAGCAUGGCUGUUGGGACCCGAAAGAUGGUGAACUAUGCUUGAAUAGGGUGAAGCCAGAGGAAACUCUGGUGGAGGCUCGCAGCGGUUCUGACGUGCAAAUCGAUCGUCAAAUUUGGGCAUAGGGGCGAAAGACUAAUCGAACUAUCUAGUA
RNAcentral lists this ribosomal RNA (859 nucleotides) under Didymocyrtis ramalinae. RNAcentral's name for it is "partial large subunit ribosomal RNA". It matches the Rfam family "Eukaryotic large subunit ribosomal RNA", at positions 71 to 949 of the family's 3401-position model. Lineage: Eukaryota; Fungi; Ascomycota; Dothideomycetes; Pleosporales; Phaeosphaeriaceae. The record is from RNAcentral.